Molecule: long non-coding RNA, 1616 nt
Organism: Phacochoerus africanus (Common warthog)
Lineage: Eukaryota; Metazoa; Chordata; Mammalia; Artiodactyla; Suidae
Exons: 2
Source: RefSeq, a predicted model, not a curated record
CACUCUUUGCCCUCUCCCUUUCUUUAAAGCCGGCUGCGGUGGGAGGCUGAGAAGCAUCCCCAAACUCCCGCACAGCCGCUCCGCCCGGGUCAACCAGAGAAAGCUUCACAAAUCCGGUCCUGAGCCUUAAAGAGGAACCAGGCAGCCAGAGCCUUUUGCCCGCUUAACCCCCCAGGGAUGUCCGCUUCCCAAGAGGGAGCCGGCUUCCCAGGCAGCUUGAGAAACUUGAUCGAGAUCCCAGAAAGGAGGCGAGGUGUAACUCGGGUCAAAGGCAGCUCUGAGGCGACACCCUCUUUACCUGCAAAGUUGCAAUCUUCUGGCUGAAGAGGGAUGGAGUCUAGGCCGGCGGCGCGGUGCUUUGCCCGGUGAGAGCACACCCGGCAAAUUCCAGUGGGAUUUCCUUAGUCUCCGCCGAGUUUUGGAGCAUUCCAAGGAAAACGCACGAAGCUGGAGCCCACGCAGCUGGCACCGAACUGGGCGGAGUGAGGAUGCUCUGAGAGUGAUGCCAGGGGAGGCAGGGGAGGCGGGGGAGGGGAGGCCGGGGAGCCGGAGGUGAGCGCGGAGGGAGGAGGACCUGGCCCACCCCCGCCCUUACGGACCCCUCGGGAUAAAGUUAGCUUUCCCACUGCUGUCAGCCGACGAACCCAGAGCAAGGCACCCGCCCUCCAUCUCCGGCGGCUGCCUGACUCAGGCUCCGCACAGACCGGGUUCGGAGGGGACAACUCGCCAAGAUGCGCGUCCCACGCACCGCUCUGCUUGGAGGUAGAGGGGACCCGCGUGAGGGCGAGACCCCGGCUCCGCUGCCCAGGAAUGGCCUCCGCCUCCCGGGGCCAAAUGUUUGAGGUCAGCCAGUUGGGCAGACGAGCUCACCACAAGCCGGCGGUCAUCUAGCCGGGUCUGUGGCCAGAACCCACCCUGUGAUCCUGGAUGCGAGCCAGACACACCUCCAGGCUUGGGGCGGGCUCCGCAGGCGGUCCAACUACAGUUCGGGUCACGACCUGGCUUCUGAACAGCCUACUCCCACCCGAGUAAACAAGCAGCUGGGCGGCAGUUCGACUUGAAAAAGUAACCCUCACCCUCAGCCCAUAACUCUCAAAGCUUCUCCCUCUCCGGCUCCUCUGGGGUCCCGGCACCCCCUCUUGCGUCCUCAAGGUGUCAGACUUCCCCUGCAAGAGCUGGCUGGCGUCUGCGGCUCGCCACUAGUGUCAACAAUGGAGACAGUCGCAAUGAAUAAGUGAUGAGGCAGCGUUCCACCCACCCUCACCCAGCUCGGUCUUUCCAACAGGCAUAGGAAAUCCGUAACAUGAAGAAUGGAACAAUCACAGACAGCCUUGCAGAGACUCCCAUGGAACCUAUCUUGGUUCAUGGAAGAUGUAAUCACUACUGACCAGGACAUAAGGCUGCUGAACCAGAAGUGGACUUGACAUACAGCAGUGACGCUGCCUGGCUUUGAGGGUGACAGAACUCACGUGAAUGUGCUUCCAUUCACACAAGAGUUCCAUUCUGAGAACUUGUCCAGUGGUUGUAUGUUUCUUAAUCAAGUCGCAUUUCAGGCAUCUCAAAAUAGCGCUCAAAGUAAAUGAACUUAGAAGUGAAUCCUUUAAAAGUAUUUCAGG